CGAAACGAACCGCAGCAAAGCAUUGAAGAAGAGUCAGUCGAACGACUCUCUGGGAAUCGUGACAAGAUGAUGCUAAUCCGAUAGCUAUCGGCAUCACUCCACGGAUCGUGCUGUAAUUGUUGACGCUGAACGAACUUGAUUUGAUGAACGUUGUUUUCGAAUCGAAAGAGAUCUUUCAACUGGCAUAUCAAGUUAUAGAAUUACAGCGAUGGGAGGAGACGAUGAGGACGGGAUAGCAAAUUCAAUCAUCCAUGAAAUGCUCUGGAAUUUAUUGUCAAACGCAAGAUAUAAAUGAUUGUAGUGACUUUUAAGGUAUUUAUAAGAGUUCCGAGCGUUCAAAAGAAACUCCUAAAACUCUUCGUUGACUACUUCCAAUUCAAUAACAAUUUUUUUCAACAGAACGAUCGUUCCUAUGAAUACUGAUGAAGACAUAAAUCGCUGUACGAUCGGUUCGCUCUAAUGAAGAAUACCUACUGGGAAUUCUCGCCUGACACAUCGUUCCACUGGCAGCCAUAAAAAUAACAGUCAAUGACUGUGGCAUUGCUAUAAAAAUUGUUGACAUGAAUUUCUACGAUUUGUAUUUACGUCCGAACAUUCACCGUAUAAAUCAUCUUAUAAUAGUCUGUCC
RNAcentral lists this long non-coding RNA (628 nucleotides) under Drosophila guanche. Lineage: Eukaryota; Metazoa; Arthropoda; Insecta; Diptera; Drosophilidae. The record is from RNAcentral.